Molecule: transfer RNA, 73 nt
Filed under: Bos indicus x Bos taurus (hybrid cattle)
Lineage: Eukaryota; Metazoa; Chordata; Mammalia; Artiodactyla; Bovidae
Rfam family: tRNA
About the family: Transfer RNA (tRNA) molecules are approximately 80 nucleotides in length. Their secondary structure includes four short double-helical elements and three loops (D, anti-codon, and T loops).
Source: Rfam by way of RNAcentral
GGUUCUACAGUGUAGUGAUCAGCACAUCCGCUUUACAUGCAGAAGGUCCUGGGUCCGACCCCCAGUGGAACCA